GCCAGUGUGGUGUAGUGGUUUGAGUAUUAGACUAUGACUCUGAAGACCAGAGUUCAAAUCCCUGUUUGGUCA
Non-coding RNA from Phrynosoma platyrhinos (Desert horned lizard), 72 nucleotides. NCBI's taxonomy places the organism in Eukaryota, Metazoa, Chordata, Lepidosauria, Squamata, Phrynosomatidae. The record is from the annotation of a GenBank genome assembly.